Alternaria sp. BMP 0032 is the source of this 137-nucleotide non-coding RNA. Lineage: Eukaryota; Fungi; Ascomycota; Dothideomycetes; Pleosporales; Pleosporaceae. The record is from the annotation of a GenBank genome assembly.
GGAGCCUUGGCGCAAUGGUAGCGCGUUGGUUUUCGGUCAGAAAGCAUAAACACCAAAGGUACACUUCACCAAUCACCUCUCGUUCCAACACCAUCUAACAGUUCAUCAGGUUGUGGGUUCGAUCCCCAUGGGCUUCG